GAAAAACUGGUGUUGUCCGUUUUUAAGAGCAGUAUUUAGGCUAACAAGAAAAGAGAGCAAGAUUAUACUACUACUAGAAACCAAUAUACAGUGAGAAUUAGAUAUGGAAUGGAAAGGAAGUUGACCGUGGUGAUAUCGAUUUGGAGUUUUGAUCAUGUUCAACUAUCAAAGUGGAUUGCGAAUCUCGAGGUAGGCGUGGCUUGCCAUCAAAUGAGUUUCAGAUAACAGGUUUGAUAGCGUUCGCGAAGAUGAUCAAGCUAUUGGAUGAUUCUGCUUUAUUUGUUUUUAUGUAUAUACUGAGUGAAAAUAAAUACACUAUUUUAUAAGUAUCAUUGGAGAGAUGUUGUAUAUAUGUCAGAGAGAGUUUAGUUUUUGGGUUAAUCUUUUUUAGAAUUUCUUUUUAUUGCCUAAAUAGACGUUUU
Molecule: long non-coding RNA, 422 nt
Organism: Papaver somniferum (opium poppy)
Lineage: Eukaryota; Viridiplantae; Streptophyta; Magnoliopsida; Ranunculales; Papaveraceae
Exons: 3
Source: RefSeq, a predicted model, not a curated record